CCUACGGGUGGCAGCAGUGGGGGAUAUUGCACAAUGGGGGAAACCCUGAUGCAGCGACGCCGCGUGAGUGAAGAAGUAUCUCGGUACGUAAAGCUCUAUCAGCAGGGAAGAAAAUGACGGUACCUGACUAAGAAGCCCCGGCUAACUACGUGCCAGCAGCCGCGGUAAUACGUAGGGGGCAAGCGUUAUCCGGAUUUACUGGGUGUAAAGGGAGCGUAGACGGCAGUUCAAGUCUGGAGUGAAAGCCCGGGGCUUAACCCCGGAACUGCUUUGGAAACUGUGCGGCUGGAGUGCAGGAGAGGUAAGCGGAAUUCCUAGUGUAGCGGUGAAAUGCGUAGAUAUUAGGAGGAACACCAGUGGCGAAGGCGGCUUACUGGACAGUAACUGACGUUGAGGCUCGAAAGCGUGGGGAGCAAACAGGAUUAGAUACCCCUGUAGUC
Molecule: ribosomal RNA, 440 nt
Filed under: uncultured bacterium
Lineage: Bacteria
Description: partial 16S ribosomal RNA
Rfam family: Bacterial small subunit ribosomal RNA
Source: RNAcentral